AGGCUAGGGGUAGAAUGGGAGCUGUAGCUGCUGGCCUACGCCACACCUGCAGCAACACGGGAUCCGAGCUGCAUCUGCAACUUACACCACAGCUCACAGCAAUGUCGGAUCCUUAACCCACUGAGCGCGACCAGGGAUUGAACCUGUGUCCCCAUGGAUGCUAGCUGCAUUCGUUAACCACUGAACCACAACAGGAACUCCCAGAUUCUUCCUCUUGAUCCCUAGCGCUGAACCUUGACCUCUGAAUCCUGGGGCCAAUGAGCCUCCUCUUUCUACUUGGGCUCCAUCUCCAGUGUUCAGGGCAUGUUUAGGGGAGUCAGUAGAUCCAUAGCAACCCAGCCUGCUUUCUUUCACAUCACCUGUGACGUCUGCCUGCCUUUGGUCAUGCUUGAGUCCAGAAUUUAGAACUAUUAUUAGGAGAUCAUUUGAUACAACCUUUUGUAUCACUGCUGAAAAUGGAACCUCUAGUUACUAACAUUGUUUGGAAUUUUGCAUUUAUGUUCAUGAAUGAUUCUGGCCAUUCACUUUUCUUUCUUAGAAUGUCCAGUUUAUUCUGGUCUUACUGAAUGUCUGGGGAACCGGUCUCACUUUUUUUUUUCUAAUUCCAUGGAAGAGCACCUACUAUGUUGACCAGUUGGUUUCUUCAAGUUUGGAUAGAAUUGGUUAGUCAAGGCAUUUGGAGUUAGACUUUUAUUUAUGGAAAGUUUUCAAAUUACAGAGCACAGAGCUCUGUCCCCAGUCCUGGGCCUCCUGUUCCCUUGCUGUGUAGACACACAUCAUGAGCUCCUUGAUUUUUCUCUCCGGGUUUCUCACUGUCUAUAGAGGUGUGAUAGACAGAGCUACUUUUUUUUUUUUUUUAAAGAAAAAACCCUCUGAAACCACCGACGUCUUCCCUCUGUCAUUGCAAUAGGAGAAGUUAGAAUUGCUCUCAGACGGGGCUUCAGAAUGAGGCAGACAUUGCAUCACGCUCACACUUGGCCUUUGCGGUGUCUGUUUUGGCUGUUCACACUCUUCCUGGUCCUCAGCUGUGUGAUGCGUUACUGUGUGUCUGUUAGUGAAGUAUUUCAACAGGACACAAUCACCAGGUGGAGCAAGGAUAAAAUAGAGAGUAACAGCCAUCAAAAUUGCAUCUCUAUUCACCUGCAUCUAAAAAUAGAGCAGUUGAAUAAAUGCACAGAAUUUCAGUGUUUUGCUGAGACUGGCCACGAGUGUUCAAUAAAGGACUGGAUCCCAAUAUGAUCUUAUGACACAGCACAGGAGCACCAGCAGGAUUGAUUUUCGGCAUCGUGGAAGACCAGAUGCAGGCUGAGACCUUGGCCCUGUCUAGGGGUGGCUGUCACUCCCGUGGGUUAGUUGUGAUCACUUCAUCAGCCCAUAUGCCAUCUACCUACUGCAGAACCGUCCCAGGUGCCUGCAGGAGGCCACACGGGGCACUGAGAGACUGACACCUCUGAGCUCUUGGGAAGCAGCACGGGGUCUGGGGCGGCCCAAGGCCCUGAACCUCUGUCAGUGAGCAAUGCACGUCACCCCCUGCCUGUGCUUCCCCUGCUGGGAAAUGCUGACCACGAGCCCUGGCUUUGCCUCUUCUCACCACUUCCUGCAGUGUUGAUCAGAGGGGUCUGAGCUUUCCGAGUUCACACUCCCCUCCAGGCAAGGACCACUGUGCUUUGCCUGGUGACCCUGGGCUCCUGUGUUCAGCUGUCCCUUCAGACUCUGGGUCUGUGUCUCCCAGUACCUCCCAUCCCCCGCCAGUCCCCCAGGACAUGGAAUUCAGCUUCUUUACUGUUUUCCACAGUAGAUCUACAUAUCUUCUCUGCUGUAGGUUUGAAGAGUCUGGGAACGGUUAGCAUCUUUGAUCUUGUUCCAAACAAACACUACUUAGUGUGAAUUUUCUGUCACCUUUGUCAUCUUGCACCGUCCCCAGGGUGAGGGUGGGAUUUCUCUCUCUCUGUUUCCCAAAUCCAAACUCCCCAUCCUCUAUCAAUCAGAACAAACAUUAAAAAAAAAAAGCAAUUAUUGGGAGUUCCCAUCGUGGCUUAGCAGGUUACAAACCCAACUAGGAUCCAUGAGGAUGUGGGUUCAAUCCCUGGCCUCCCUCAGUGGGUUAAGGAUCUGUCUGCUGUGACCCGUGGUAUAGGUCGAAGAUGUGGCUCAGAUCCCACGUCGAUGUGGCUGUGNNNNNNNNNNNNNNNNNNNNNNNNNNNNNNNNNNNNNNNNNNNNNNNNNNNNAAAAAAAAAAAAAAAAAAAAAAAAAAAAAAGAGCAAUUAUUACUGAGCAGUUCUCUGCAGUUUUAUCAACUAAAUAAGAUUCAUGUGUUUUUGAACAUUCAGGGAUCAUUUGAGAGGACUACAUGAUUGUUCUUGGCUUUAUGAGGUUAGCUUGGCUUGUGAAUGAAGUGUCCUGGAUUUAAAAAAAAACAACCCUCCGCAAAAUCCCCAAACAAACCCAUGUGUAAUGUAAAAAAUGUCCACCAGAGGGAGGACCAGCCCUCAGGCGUCAGCUGUGACUUGAGAUUCCAGCUCCAGCUUCCUCUUAAUGAUUGUGAAACCUAAGACUGUGAAAUUCUCAGGAAUUAUAUGAAAUUCUCAGUGUUAUAUAAAAUAUACAUUAAGAGAGGGUUAAAGACACUACUGUGAUGAUUUGCUAUGUAGAUAUGUAAAGUUGAAUUUAGUAAAAGAAAGAGCGAGAGAGCGAGCGAGAAUGAGAGAGAGGGGUGGAAUUGCUGACUGCUGAUGUGAAAUUUGCAGUGGUUUUUUCCAAAGGGCCUGAUCCAGGAGACAUGCAGCAGUGUGGAGGUGGGUGGGCCAAGGCUUUUGGCUCAUCCAGUGGCCCCCAAUUUUGUCUCCAUGUUAUUAUUAUUAUUAUUAAACUACUACUAGUAUGGUUUUGGACAUAGGAGUUUAAUUACCUGCUAGACCAUCCAGAUGGAAGUACACAGGGAAAGGAUGGAAGCAGGUCAGAGACUUAGGUGUGAGACAGGCAUUUGUAUACCAGUUGAGGUUUAUACAUUUACCAGACCAGACUGUUUUGUUUUUUUUUUUUAAACAUUUAUCAAAAAACUUCUUACCACAGAACAAAACAAUGUAUUUAAACACUUCCAGAAUUGUCCAAGUUAUUUUUAACACAUAAUUUCCCCCCACAUUUCUUGAAUUGUCAAUUUGUAUGUGUGUGGGUGUGUGGGGUUACCCCAAAUGCCCCAAUUUUUAUUUUAGUCCUUAGUUUAUACUUCUGGAACAGGGUGCCCUAAACUGAAACCUUUUUCUAAGCCUUGGGUUUAUAUCUGACCCCUGUAAAAUGUGUAUCUUUUAAUGAAAUUGUCGUUCUCAAAGAUCUGGGAAAAAAGUAUGCAUUAAACACCUAUAACUUCAUCUCCAUUUUGGUUAUAGUGUAGCAACUUAUCCUCUAACCCACAGAGGUCUGUCAAGUGAGUAAAGCUGAGUUUCUUGUUUCCUCCAUCAGUGGCCUGUGGCUUCUCUACUUCUUCAUUAACCACUCCUGGUUUGGGCGGAUUCUCACACAAAAUUGUCUUGGCAAAACCUCAGCCUGGCCCACGAUCAAGGGAUGCACCUGCAUUGAUCUUCUUGAAGGUAUUUUUCAAAUAUGUCCUUUCUUUGAAUUCCCUAUCUGUGUGUUGGACAUUUUCUUGAAACUCAGAAGGUUUUCUCUGUCCGAGAUGCUGGUUUCUCUGAAAAGGGCUGUUUUCCUCAUCCUUGACUGUGAACCGUUUCACCACCCCGUGAUGGCCGUUAAAGGAAGACUGUUUUCCUAACUGGUCCUCUGGGUGUUGGCUCACGGAUGUCUUCCUGAGCUGUUGGUGUGGGGGACGGUGGGUGGGUGUAGGCCUGCAUGGUGCUGAUUCUGAUGGGCUUUCUGUCUCAAAACUGCAACCUUGGUUUACCUGGAGGAGAGGGUGCUUCCUACGCUGCAGCCCCAGCCCGGGGGAUUGGGGGGUGGGUCCAGCUCUCAGGCAUCCAGCUGCCUCUCCCUGCCAUCCUGGUUACAGAAAGCGAGGGCAGCAGUCUGGGCAAGAGCUGGUCCCAUGGUGGGGGAGGGGGCUCGGUAGGCAUCCAGGUACUUCAGUGUCACAGGGCUGCCAUGACAAAUUACCACCCACUGAGUGGCUUAAGAUAACAGAAAUUGGUUCUCAUAAUUCUGGAAGCCAGAAAUCUGAAAUCCAGGUGUCCCCAGGGGUAUUCCUUCAGGUGGCCCUAAGGGAGAACCUAACCCCUGCCUCUGUCCCAGCUUCCAGCGUUGGCCCUCAGUCCUUGGCUUGUAUGUGCAUCGGUCCUGUCCCUGCAUAGUGGUCCACAUGACGUGGCUGUAUCUGUAACUUAUCACUUAUUAAUUAUGUUUAGGUUGUUUCCAGCGUUAUUUCAUUUUUUUGCUAUCACCAAUAAUGCUGCAAUGAUGAUUUGUGCAGAAAUAGAAGUAGAAUAAAUUCCUAGAUGUGGAAUUCCAGCAUCAAAGGCUGUGUGAUUCACAUUUUCGAUGGAUACAGUCAUCUGCCCUUAUCCACAGGGAUACUUUCCUAGAGGAAGCCUGAAGCCACAGAUAGUGUACACUAGGUUUUUUUCCUUCCCAUACAUACUGAUGAUAAAGUUUAGUUCAUAAAUUAGGCACAGUAGGGGAUUAACACUAAGUAACACUAAAAUAAACCAUUAUAACACGCUGCAGUACAAGCUUCGUGAAUAUGGUCUCUCUUUCUUGCUCUUAAAACAUCUUUCUGUACUCACCCUUCUGUGCUGAUGCGGGAUGAUGAAAUGCCUG
Molecule: long non-coding RNA, 4768 nt
Filed under: Sus scrofa (pig)
Lineage: Eukaryota; Metazoa; Chordata; Mammalia; Artiodactyla; Suidae
Description: lncRNA (ENSSSCG00065038038.1)
Source: RNAcentral